AGGCAAAGAGAAUAAGGGCUGUCCUCAUUUUCAGAGCAUUGGUUUGCCAUGCUCUGAAGAGAACAAAUCAAAGGGACCGGGGGCCUGAGCAAGGAAAUCAGUAAGAAGAAUCUGGAAUGAAUAGCCUGAGGUGCAGAAAGGCGACCCAGGAUGAAUGCAGGCAUCCUUGCCAAUGCCCAGUCACAGACAGUGCUGGCCCCACAGAGAGAAUGCAGCUACCCAAGAGAACACAGAUAGAGGUGCUCAAGUUAGACAAAACUGCACCAUCACUCAGUCCUUUGCGUCAGCAAGUAAAGCAAUCAUCCAGAAAUUUGCAAAGCAAAUUGGAGAGAAGCCAAGACUUCGAUAGAAAUCAGUUGAUGGGGAUUUCCUACAUUAAAGACUUUUUCUUCAGAAAGUGCAUAAACUGCAGCACAGACCUGUCUGUGAUGAGCAUUAACAGCCCUGACAUAAAGCAUGGGACUUCACAGGCACUCUGA
RNAcentral lists this long non-coding RNA (479 nucleotides) under Callithrix jacchus (white-tufted-ear marmoset). RNAcentral describes it as "lncRNA (ENSCJAG00000078972.1)". Lineage: Eukaryota; Metazoa; Chordata; Mammalia; Primates; Cebidae. The record is from RNAcentral.